AUGGGUAAAUAAAGUUCAAGUACUCCUAAAAAUGGAACUUAGUAUUGUAAAUGAACUCCAUUUAUGGUCCCCUUCUCCCUAUGGUUGUCCAAUAUCGCAUAGUAGGUAGACUAUCUUAGAUGUUUUCCUCUUAUCCAUUUGAAAUACAAGGCAGAGGAUCGGAGAUAGUGCCAAAAUAGUAUUUUUUUACUGACAAAUUACUUGCUGGACUUACUGUGGUGAAUUAAGAGCUCACAUUUAACUUUAACAUACUAAACAC
RNAcentral lists this long non-coding RNA (259 nucleotides) under Elaeis guineensis (African oil palm). Its description in RNAcentral is "long non-coding RNA (EGUI_LNC032460)". The record is from RNAcentral. Lineage: Eukaryota; Viridiplantae; Streptophyta; Magnoliopsida; Arecales; Arecaceae.